Molecule: long non-coding RNA, 7709 nt
Organism: Dromaius novaehollandiae (emu)
Lineage: Eukaryota; Metazoa; Chordata; Aves; Casuariiformes; Dromaiidae
Exons: 2
Source: RefSeq, a predicted model, not a curated record
CGCCCGGGGCGGGGGGGGGCGCGGGGCGGAGGGGCCGGCGCGGCCCCGGCGCUGUCCGCGGCGCGCGGCCCCCGCAGCGCGCGGCCCCCGCGGGCGGCGGCGCCGGUGUCGCCUGCCCGAAAGGCGGCGGCGCUAUGGGCGGGCGGCGGGCGCGGUGCGUGCGGGCUCACGGCGGAGCAUCGCGCGGCAAAUGGUUCCCGAGCCGGGAGGGGAGGUUGUCAGCGCCCGCGGGGAGCCCGGGUCUGAAAUUAGACGUCUGAGUGGAGAGAGUUUGGGGAAACAGCAGUGAAGAAGUGCGUUCGAGCCGGCCUGAAUCACUGUGUCCGGGGCGGUACGAAUAUGUCUGUAAAAGGGAUUUAUUUAAACGGAGACGGGCACCACUCCUGGGGUUAGUGCCGCUGACCGCCGCCUUGGAGGGGCGACUCGCUCGGGGGCUGGAAGAUCCGAUCCUGGCUCAGCGCGGCACAGCCAUAGAGACAGCGACUAGAAGGAUGCAAUAACUUACUUGGUUCUAAACAGCGAUGUUUCUAUAAAUACAGGCAUUUCCCUUGUUCCCUUCCUGAAAAGCCCAGAACAUUUUACCAGGCUCAUCUCUUAACAAAAUAGCGUACAGAAACAGUCUGAAAAUACAUUAUCCAAAAGAACCCAACAGAAAUAUUCCUUAUUUCCUUACUGGGAAAUCAGCAAAAUACAGUCUGUACCUGUUCCCACCAAAAUCAAUAAGCUGCAUUGUAUUUUUCCAAAUACUGCUACUUUCCCUGUUUUGCACUUCAUCUAGAAAAGGAAAAUACAUCUUCCUCUGGGUAAGUAAGUGAUUGUAGAUUUUCCCUCAAAUUGUAUUUGAUCAUCAAGUGAAUUUAGUGCUCACUCAAGCCAAUGGGUUGACUAUCUGAAAAUGGCUCUGUCUGUCUUCGCAAACUUAUGGCAGAGGCAGCAGCAGAGCAAUUGCUACAGAUUAUUUCCCAAUCUGCUGCAGUCUCUUUUGGAGAAGCACCAUUAUUUCAGCCUCCAUCUCCAUUUUUUGCUGAGGCUGCUGCUCACAAAGAUACUAAUUGCGAUGGCAGUUUUUAUGUUAAUGGGUUCCACGUAACGAUCAGCCCGACAACUACAGCCCGCCGGAUUGUUAGCUGACUGCGCUGGGAAUAAAGCUGAUGGCGUUUGGGUAUGGAAACGCCAGGCCUCCACCUGGAGAGAUAGAUCGGUGGCUCCGCUAGGUGAAACCGCCCCCCGCGCUGGGACGCCCGGGGCCGGAGCCCCUCUCCCUCCUUCCCUCCUUCCCGGGUGCCCGUGCCGGGGGGGCGCGGGGCCGCCUGCCCCCCGGGAGGCUGCCGGGCCGCUGCCGAGCGGGGCCGGAGCUGCGCGAGCCUCCGAAUUGUGACUAACGACGUAACCGGUUUGGGAGCUCUAAAAUAAGGUUUUAAUCCUGGGAAGCAUCAUUUCACAUUCCAGUGAUCUAAUCAAAAUCCUCUCCUCUAAUCUCUCCACGGUCCCCCCUUUCUAGAUGAAAGAGGCUGGAGUCGCUGCCUUCGCCCUCGCUCCGCCGUCUCCCUGCUCCACCAGUCUGUUCUGUGUCCAGGCAACUGCAAAGAGACAUUUGAAAGACUCCUGCCGUGCCAUGGGGAUGUUUCUCUUGUUAGUUUGGACUGCAGGUGUGUAAGCCUCGAGGAUGAAGUAUCACGGUGCUGUUUUAGGUUCGGGGCACACAGUCGUAGUACAAUAAAUCACAUGGCAGUGCUCCGCUUUGAACACACACGCGCAAAAAAAGGCAAAGAAAAAAAGCAUCUGACCUGAAUCAUUUUCUGGAAACACAUCUGGUUAAAAUCCAAAGUUUUAAAUUGAGUAAUAUUUUAAAAUACAUUUGGUAGGUAUUAAAUUACAGUGUUAUAUCUGGUAAUAUUUAUGAUACUAAUGUGUUAAGCAGAGGUUUAUAUCUGUCAAGAAGUAUGAAUGAUUGUCAUAUGGGGUAGCAAAUGAAUCCUGAUAUAAAUAAUAUUUUAUGAUAUUUUUAACAUUAUUGUAAUCUUUUUGCAGGAGUUACAUCUUGUCACAUUAUUGCCAAUUUGAAAUAAAAGCUGCGUGGCUAGAUACUAAAGCUUUUAGCUAUAUCAUUUUGAAUAAGAAUAAACAGUACAGCUGAUUCUGGAAGUACCGAGAAACCUUAAGUGCGCCGGAAGACAAGUGCGGAGUACCUGUAAUUCCUACUGUCUUCGGUGCAGGAUCAAGUCCCUUAUUUGCCAUUUUGUGUGGCAGCAAGCCCAAGGAAAUCUCGCUUGACAGCUCUGCUCUCUAAGUGCGGUAUUUCUUAGGGCUGGAUUCUGCAUCCUGCAGGGUACAAAGCUCUUGGGGCAAAUGGUAAUUUGUUUUCUGUUUCUGCUAAAACGUGCCCAUGUGAGAUGGAAGACGGAUCCUUGAAAACUGGGUGCGCCCUGGCAAGAAGGCGGUUAGAAGAAAGUUUCCUUGGAUUAGUAUGUUUUGAGAAAUCAGUCUCAUGUGUUUGUCUGAGAGAACCUGAAGUAUUUUCUUAAGGUUAGAUUUGAUCUGUGUAAAUGCUAACUUCUUUCAACAUGUGCUAAUACAAUACUGAAAAAGUAAGUACAGUAUAUUUGAAGUUUAUAUCUAAAAUGAUGACAAUAACUAAAAGUGCUUAAAUAAUGCUUGCUACAUCCAAAAUAUUUUUAAAUAUGUUACUCAGAUUUCUUUUUCAUUUUCUUCCAGGUAUGGUCAUCACAGGCACCGUUUUAGGAAUUAGAAAAAUAUCUAACUAAAAUUUGUUCCUUAUUAAUGUCAUUGUGUCAUAAAAUAUCACUAAUACAGAUAUUUAACUAACACAUUUGCUCUAUUGCUUGCACUGGGCCAUCAAUGACAAUUGGUGUUAUUAUGCUUCACAUGUGAUGGUCCAGAAUAUUAUGGAAAAUGGACCUUUAUUGCAAGGGCCCAAGACUUGUCAGAAAAGAUUCAUUGUCAAAACCGCUCCUCUGGGCAGCAGUCUGGAUUCAUUAAGAUAUUUUGGACCAUGAGUCCAAUUUAAAUCACCGGACUUAGGUUUCCAUUUGCCUUUGCAAAUCUGGCUUAUUUCCUGGGCCAGGACACUGUAAAUUGAGGUGCUGCUUCUCCUGGGAAGACCGUGACUUUGAGUCUCUUCUCCAUUGAUUCUGUUGUUUUCUUCCAAUUUUCACUUAAACUGACUUCCAAAUUUCUAUCACAGUUCCUGUAACAGAGGUCCUUCUCCUUGUUCUGCCUCUUCCUGCCUCGCUUUCAUGGCUCUCAUUUUGCAUUUUCUUCAACAGCAUCUUGUCUCUGGCUGUCCGGCUCCAGACGUCUGUGCCCAGUGAACAGGAAUGCCUCAUCCCCAAAUCCCAUCCUUCUCCCUUGUGAAAGCGCCAUUCUGUUCACGCCGAGCAGGAUUUGAGAGCUUUCCUCCGUCCAUCCAUGUUCCACCGUGCCCGUCGCCCAGCGAGACUCCACAGGGAUGGCAGAGCAUAGCGGUAGACAGUUAUCUUAUGUUGCUGGGAGAUUUAGCCCAAAUUAAGAUCAAAACCCAUAUUCAUCUUUCAAAUCAUAAUUUUUUCCCAAUUAUUGUCAGUGACUCUAAUUCGGCAUUGAUUUAUAUAUAUUGUGAUAGACAGAGGUUUUGCAGCGUAUAAAUUGCCAGGGGAUUUGGCCAGUGAUUUGGCCACAGCGACAUGUACAGGCUCAGGGAAUCCUCUGAGCUGAAAGUGCUUGGAAGCUGGGAGAGUCCUGGGGGGAAGUAUCGCCUGCGCCUGCCUGCCCGUCCCAGCGUGUCCACUCGUGGUGACUGGCAGUGAGAGCUGGGUGGACCCUUGCUCUGAACCAGCAUGGUGAUUCCCAUGUUCGUAGGUAAUUUGCAAAAGUUUUAGCACAAAUCAUAUAGAAAGAGUUAUACGUGACUUAAGCAUGGAAUCCCAGCUACAGCAUAGUCCCAGAUAGACGCUGGAAACUGGAAAAGAAGAAAGCAAUUCCCAUAGAGGGCAGGGAAAACAGCCACAAUUAAAAGCAAAGUAAAUUUGGGCUGUGUGGUUACUUGCUCUUUAACUCUGAAGAUGUUCAUAAGUGUCCUGCAUAAUCCACAACAGAUCUUCCUGCAGGAUUUGUGGAUUAACCCAUACCAACAAAAACGUGUGACGACAUUGUAGUGGUAUUCUCUGCCACGUGCAGUAGGAGUUACCGAAGACCCCAGUAGAAAGGCUAUACCGAUGUGCCUAAUGAAUUGAGUCGGUCUUUCAGGCUGAAUAUGUUCACAACAUUUCUGUUAAAUAACUGCUUCUCUUAUGGCAUAUUCUAUCCAGAUGCAAGGUCAUGUUUUGGCCAGCGCAAGUAAUAACAAUACCCAUAGGCAAUCAAAAGAAUUAGAGAGGAAAAGGACCUAUCAGAUUAUCCACUGCCUGUAGCUGGCAGUGAGUAACAGUUUCAUACCGAGUAUACGCAAGUUUAUGGUUCAUACCACUUUUAAUUUGUAAGUGUUAUCCUUUCUUCAGUGUGCAAGACGGUAUCAGAGUGAGCUUUCUGCUGGAUGGGAAGCGUUUUGAGCCUCCUGGUGCCCUUUCCCAGCUAGGCAGGGCACGCUCCCACGAGGACUUUUCUGCCUGACCUGUGCUGCUGCUCUUUUGAUCUGGGCAUUUAUCUUCUUCAUCCCUCAAGGGGCUAGUAGACAAGGCGUAUGGAAUGUGUGAGUGCAAAACCGAUCCUAUAUUGGAAAAGAAAAUAGAAAAAAGGUCUUCUUUCACUUUCCAAGCACAAAUGCUUCAGAUGGCAACUCCGCUCCUCCAUCCCCUCUGUGAAGGGAGGAAGAGCAAGAAUAACUCACUGCUCCCUUCUCUAGCUGCGUUUUCUGGUGUCUCUCUGGCACUCGCUCCCUUCUCUGACUCCGUCCGUCAUUCCCAGCCCUGUCCCAUCCCCACCCCGUGGCUGUGGCCCUGGUGGUGCAGCCGCUCUCCCCCGUUGGUGUCACACGCUGGCUCCAAUGCUGGUGUCACAGGAGAGGUGUCCACACCUGGGCCCUGCUGCAGGACUCGUGGCAGGGAGGCUUGCGGCAGACGGUGUUCUGGGACAGAGAGACGGGCAUGUAUGGCGAUGGGCAAACAUGGAGACAGGCAACACAUCUUCCUUGUGCACCGGUGCAAAGCAAAACCCUCCACGUGGGUUAGCCCCCCUGGGCAGGGCUAUCAGGGCAAUCGGGAAGCUGGAGAGGAGAAUAAGUGAAGUACCAGACGCAGGGACUGGAAAACCACUGCAGAGAAAAGGUUUUGCUAACUUUUCAUGUGUGGCACACAUUGAUGGCUGUGAUGCACAAAUUCUCAGGGAAACACCAUCUACCUGCCCCCAAAUGCUGCAGAACUCCCCAGGUACUUUUGCCAUUUCGGCUCUUCGGUGUGGUGGAGGUCAGCGGGAGGACUGCUUAAUAGCUGGCUUUGGGAUGUCCGAGGUGAUUCUCCUUCAAAUAAGGCAUAUGAGGUUUCAUUUUGGGAAGCAUGUCUUUCCUUAGGAACACAACUGUGACUUCGAUGGCACCGUGAUGAUUUCUCCAAGCGCAACAGUGUUUGUGGUUGUUGGAUAUGAAUGCUAGGGUAGAAGAAACAGGAAUUCUGGAUUCUGAAAGGGAAAAAAUAGACACCCUAAGAGGAAGUCGUAAAUUCGCUGCAGCCACCAGAAACUGGCAAAACUGAUGCAACGUCCUGCAAGAAACGCUUUAGUGUGGAGAACCUCCUUGAAGGGAGUGUACCAGGUUCCCAUCAUGAUGCAGCUCCCACAUGAAAGCCACUUCGAAACUAUGCAGAGCAGCCUCUGGACUGCCCCGAUUUCCAUGCUCGGCUCAGCCAGCUCUCACAAAGGCAAGCAUAUGGCAGGCACACACUAUACCCGGCUCAGCACUAGUAUUUCUGCAGGCGCAGUGUAUGAAGGCCAUGGUUAGAAGGUGAAUAUCCGUAAAGGUAAAUGGUACACUUGAAAAUGAAUCACAGUGCUCAGGAUAACGUAUCAAACUGCUAUUUGUUUAGUAACGUAUAGGAAAAAAAAUCUUUUUUCUUCCCCUUACCAUUGCAUUGUUUCCUAUUUGCUGUUUGGGUGGUGAUGGAUUACUGAAUAGUUACAAAAAAAUCCAUAUAAUUUUGUGUUUUCAAACGUUACCUUCUCCUUAGAAAUAAACAGCUCUCACCUUACUUGGUCCAUGAUUCUCCACAGUUAUAUCAUAGCCCUUGUUUACAUCUGCUUGGCAUCAUCCUAGACUGGGGCUUUAACCUGAUGUAAAUCCAAAGAAAUUAUGUGGGAAUUGAUGGCGUCACUACGAAUGUCCAUGGGUGUAGGCUAGUGCAGGCCAUAGCCUAUUCAUCUCGUUGUGCUCUUUCAGUAAAUAACAAGCUGGAUUCAGCCCAACAAGAGUAAAACAAAUUGAAAACAUUCUUAAAGAGAAGAGGUAAACGGGUUUACAAUGUAAUAACAACAUUUUGGAGGGUUGUCUCCAAGCAUCCAGGUUUCAAAAGCACCAAAGUACAUAUAAAACAUUCAUUUACCAUGUGCUUAAGUGCCGUGCUGCGUGUGGCUGGCUGCUGAAUCAGGGCCACGUACCUAAGACUGACUUUCAUGAGACAAUUACAUAAAAAAAUUUUUAACUGCGAGGAGGAGAAAAAUGUUCAAGGGCAGCCAACCUGGAGGAAACAAAUAUAAUUUAAUUAUGUGAAGUGUUUAUAAAUGCAGUUUAUGAACAUGUAUGAAAGCCAGUAAUUCUUUACUUUUCAGACUGUAACUGUCACACAGAAAGGAAACAAUCGCUUAUUUAUCUUUUCCAAGGCUUUUUAGAGAAUACAUUGCAGUUCAGAUAUUUAUUUUGACCUUUUAGUCCUUUUUAACAGCUCAUUGUUUUGUUGAUUAGUCCUGAUUAGCAAUUUUUAUGUGCGCUCCUUCAUUUGUGAUUGAUAGAAAAAUAUUUACCUGGUUUACCUGGAAGUGGAAAUUUAUUUCAGACUUUGUUUGAAAUUUUGGACUUAGUUUUAAUAUACGUGGGUUACUGAAUCAGACCCAUAAGCUUUGCUUUUUAUUUCUCUUACAUCACCAAUAUAAAUCUUAAGUGACUCAGAAUGCCUGGAAUUGCAAUAAUGUAGUGCAACAGAACGGCCUAUCAGGCUUCAUAAAUAGAUCAGAUUAAUGCAUAAAUCUAAUUUGAUAUUUUACAUUACUGGGCUAAUAUUUUACAGAUGUAAUGCCAAGUUGUUAAGUAAAUGAAAUUCAUGGAGAGUCCAAUUCUGAAAGGAUUACUCAGGCAAAAAUCCCUGAAGUCAAAGGGAGUAUUGCCUGAACGCAGUCUGCAAAAUUAGAACUAGAGCCAUAUUCCCAAAACAGAAAAGCAGAUUUAUCUUAGAGAUCUGCCCAUGAGUUGAGUUCUUGUUACAAUGAAAGAUAUAUUGGGAAAAUGAACAAGAAGGUAACCUGAAAUAUAAGGAGAGACUGAUAAGAUCGCGCCAACCCUGAGCAAGCACUUGUGUGGUUGGUGAUGUCAACAGAAGCCCAAGCUGUUUCAAUAAACUUGUUCAUAGUUGUCCUAUACCGUGUUUUAUAUACUGAAGUACAUAGAUCACGUAAGAGUUUAACAAGAAAAGGAUUCAUAUUAAAUUUGCACAUAAAAUGCCUCUAUGAAAUACGUGAAAUGCUUUUCUUUUUUUAUAUGAUGCCAAUAAAAUAUCGAUCAUAAAACUCUG